Molecule: ribosomal RNA, 1243 nt
Filed under: Tomato big bud phytoplasma
Lineage: Bacteria; Bacillati; Mycoplasmatota; Mollicutes; Acholeplasmatales; Acholeplasmataceae
Description: bacterial SSU rRNA
Rfam family: Bacterial small subunit ribosomal RNA
Source: RNAcentral
GCUAAGACUGGAUAGGAAGAUAAAAGGCAUCUUUUAUCUUUUAAAAGACCUAGUAAUAGGUAUGCUUUAGGAGGGGCUUGCGCCAUAUUAGUUAGUUGGUAGGGUAAUGGCCUACCAAGACGAUGAUGUGUAGCUGGACUGAGAGGUUGAACAGCCACAUUGGGACUGAGACACGGCCCAAACUCCUACGGGAGGCAGCAGUAGGGAAUUUUCGGCAAUGGAGGAAACUCUGACCGAGCAACGCCGCGUGAAUGACGAAGUACUUCGGUAUGUAAAGUUCUUUUAUCAAGGAAGAAAAGCAAAUGGCGAACCAUUUGUUUGCCGGUACUUGAUGAAUAAGCCCCGGCUAAUUAUGUGCCAGCAGCCGCGGUAAGACAUAAGGGGCAAGUGUUAUCCGGAAUUAUUGGGCGUAAAGGGUGCGUAGGCGGUCUAGUAAGUCAGUGGUGUAAUGGCAACGCUUAACGUUGUCCGGCUAUUGAAACUGCUAAACUUGAGUUAGAUAGAGGCGAGUGGAAUUCCAUGUGUAGCGGUAAAAUGCGUAAAUAUAUGGAGGAACACCAGAGGCGUAGGCGGCUCGCUGGGUCUUAACUGACGCUGAGGCACGAAAGCGUGGGGAGCAAACAGGAUUAGAUACCCUGGUAGUCCACGCCGUAAACGAUGAGUACUAAGUGUCGGGUUAAACCGGUACUGAAGUUAACACAUUAAGUACUCCGCCUGAGUAGUACGUACGCAAGUAUGAAACUUAAAGGAAUUGACGGGACUCCGCACAAGCGGUGGAUCAUGUUGUUUAAUUCGAAGAUACCCGAAAAACCUUACCAGGUCUUGACAUGUUUUUGCAAAAUGAUAGUAAUAUCGUGGAGGUUACCAGAAACACAGGUGGUGCAUGGUUGUCGUCAGCUCGUGUCGUGAGAUGUUAGGUUAAGUCCUAAAACGAGCGAAACCCUUAUCGUUAGUUGCCAGCACGUUAUGGUGGGGACUUUAACGAGACUGCCAAUGAUAAAUUGGAGGAAGGUGAGGAUCACGUCAAAUCAGCAUGCCCCUUAUGACCUGGGCUACAAACGUGAUACAAUGGCUGUUACAAAGGGUAGCUGAAACGCAAGUUCUUGGCCAAUCCCCAAAAACAGUCCCAGUCCGGAUUGAAGUCUGCAACUCGACUUCAUGAAGUUGGAAUCGCUAGUAAUCGCGAAUCAGCAUGUCGCGGUGAAUACGUUCUCGGGGUUUGUACACACCGCCCGUCAAACCA